GUGAUGAUGUGGUUAAUUCGAUGCAACGCGAAAACCUUACCACCUUUGACAUGGCAGGAAGUUACCAGAGAUGGUUUCGUGCUACGAAAGAGAACCUGCACACAGGUGCUGCAUGGCUGUCGUCAGCUCGUGUCGUGAGAUGUUGGGUUAAGUCCCGCAACGAGCGCAACCCUUGCCAUCAGUUGCUACGAAAGGGCACUCUGAUGGGACUGCCGGUGACAAACCGGAGGAAGGUGGGGAUGACGUCAAGUCCUCAUGGCCCUUAUAGGUGGGGCUACACACGUCAUACAAUGGCCGGUACAAAGGGCAGCCAACCCGCGAGGGGGAGCCAAUCCCAUAAAGCCGGUCGUAGUCCGGAUCGCAGUCUGCAACUCGACUGCGUGAAGUCGGAAUCGCUAGUAAUCGCAGAUCAGCACGCUGCGGUGAAUACGUUCCCGGGCCUU
This 443-nucleotide ribosomal RNA is filed under the name uncultured Hydrogenophaga sp. Its description in RNAcentral is "bacterial SSU rRNA". It matches the Rfam family "Bacterial small subunit ribosomal RNA", at positions 932 to 1382 of the family's 1533-position model. The record is from RNAcentral. Lineage: Bacteria; Pseudomonadati; Pseudomonadota; Betaproteobacteria; Burkholderiales; Comamonadaceae.